UUUUGGCGUUAGGGUUAAAAUCACUGUCCAAAACCUUUGUAGGAACUCUUUUCCAACCUUUUGGAGUUAGUUAGACCAAAAAAAAAUAUGAAAAAAGAAAAAAAUAUUUGGGGUUUUCGGGCUUCCUGAAGUAAUACCCGGGUAUUAGGUUUUGGGGCUAGGUAAGGUUUAAGUUUUUGGCGUUAGGGUUAAAAUCACUGUCCAAAACCUUUGUAGGAACUCUUUUCCAACCUUUUGGAGUUAGUUAGACCAAAAAAAAUGAAAAAAGAAAAAAAUAUUAUUGGGGGUAUUAUUAGGUUUUGGGGCUAUGGUAAGGUUUAAGUUUUUUGGCAUUAGGGUUAAAAUCACUGUCCAAAACCUUUGUAGGAACUCUUUUCCAACCUUUUGGAGUUAGUUAGACCAAAAAAUAUGAAAAAAGAAAAAAAUAUUAUUGGGGGUUUUCGGGCUCCAUGAAAGUAAUACCCGGGUAUUAGGUUUUGGGGCUAUAGUAAGGUUUAAGUUUUUUGGCGUUAGGGUUAAAAUCACUGUCCAAAACCUUUGUAGGAACUCUUUUCCAACCUUUUGGAGUUAGUUAGACCAAAAAAAAAAGAAAAAUGAAAAAAAAAUAUUUGGGGUGUUCAGGCUUCCUAAAAGUAAUACCCGGGUAUUAGGUUAUGGGGCUAUGGUAAGGUUUAAGGUUUUUGGCGUUAGGGUUAAAAUCACUGUCCAAAACCUUUGUAGGAACUCUUUUCCAACCUUUUGGAGUUAGUGAGACCAAAAAAAAAUGAAAAAUGAAAAAAAAAAUAUUUGGGGUUUUCGGGCUUCCUGAAUGUAAUACCCGCGUAUUAGAUUUUAAGGCUAGGGAAAGGUUUAAGUUUUUUGGCGUUAGGGUUAAAAUCACUGUCCAAAACCUUUGUAGGAACUCUUUUCCAACCUUUUGGAGUUAGUUAGACCAAAACAUAUGAAAAAAGAAAAAAAUAUUAUUGGGGGUUUUCGGGCUCCCUGAAAGUAAUACCCGGGUAUUAGGUUAUGGGGCUAUGGUAAGGUUUAAGGUUUUUGGCGUUAGGGUUAAAAUCACUGUCCAAAACCUUUGUAGGAACUCUUUUCCAACCUUUUGGAGUUAGUUAGACCAAAAAAUAUGAAAAAAGAAAAAAAUAUUAUUGGGGGUUUUCGGGCUCCCUGAAAGUAAUACCCAGGUAUUAGGUUUUGGGGCUAUGGUAAGGUUUAAGUUUUUUGGCGUUAGGGUUAAAAUCACUGUCCAAAACCUUUGUAGGAACUCUUUUCCAACCUUUUGGAGUUAGUUAGACCAAAAAAAAAUGAAAAAUUAAAAAACAAUAUUUGGGGUUUCUGGGUUCCUGAAUGUAAUACCCGGGUAUUAGAUUUUGAGGCUAGGGUAAGGUUUAAGUUUUUUGGCAUUAGGGUUAAAAUCACUGUCCAAAACCUUUGUAGGAACUCUUUUCCAACCUUUUGGAGUUAGUUAGACCAAAAAAAAAAAAAAAUGAAAAAAAAAAUAUUUGGGGUGUUCAGGCUUCCUGAAGGUAAUACCCGGGUAUUAGGUUAUGGGGCUAUGGUAAGGUUUAAGGUUUUUGGCGUUAGGGUUAAAAUCACUGUCCAAAACCUUUGUAGGAACUCUUUUCCAACCUUUUGGAGUUAGUUAGACCAAAAAAAAAAGAAAAAUGAAAAAAAAAUAUUUGGGGUGUUCAGGCUUCCUAAAAGUAAUACCCGGGUAUUAGGUUAUGGGGCUAUGGUAAGGUUUAAGGUUUUUGGCGUUAGGGUUAAAAUCACUGUCCAAAACCUUUGUAGGAACUCUUUUCCAACCUUUUGGAGUUAGUUAAACCAAAAAAAAAUGAAAAAUGAAAAAAAAAAUAUUUGGGGUUUUCGGGCUUCCUGAAUGUAAUACCCGGGUAUUAGAUUUUGAGGCUAGGGUAAGGUUUAAGUUUUUUGGCAUUAGGGUUAAAAUCACUGUCCAAAACCUUUGUAGGAACUCUUUUCCAACCUUUUGGAGUUGGUUACACCAACAAAAAUGUAAUACAGGUAUUAGAUUUUAAGGCUAGGGUAAGGUUUAAGUUUUUUGGCGUUAGGGUUAAAAUCACUGUCCAAAACCUUUGUAGGAACUCUUUUCCAACCUUUUGGAGUUAGUUAGACCAAAACAUAUGAAAAAAGAAAAAAAUAUUAUUGGGGGUUUUCGGGCUCCCUGAAAGUAAUACCCGGGUAUUAGGUUUUGGGGCUAUGGUAAGGUUUAAGGUUUUUGGCGUUAGGGUUAAAAUCACUGUCCAAAACCUUUGUAGGAACUCUUUUCCAACCUUUUGGAGUUAGUUAGACCAAAAAAAAAUGAAAAAUGAAAAAAAAAAUAUUUGGGGUUUUCGGGGUUCCUGAAUGUAAUACCCGGGUAUUAGAUUUUGAGGCUAGGGUAAGGUUUAAGUUUUUUGGCAUUAGGGUUAAAAUCACUGUCCAAAACCUUUGUAGGAACUCUUUUCCAACCUUUUGGAGUUAGUUACACCAAAAAAAAUGUAAAAUGAAGAAAAAAAUAUUUGGGGUGUUCAGGCUUCCUGAAGGUAAUACCCGGGUAUUAGAUUUCAAGGCUAGGGUAAGGUUUAAGGUUUUUGGCGUUAGGGUUAAAAUCACUGUCCAAAACCUUUGUAGGAACUCUUUUCCAACCUUUUGGAGUUAGUUAGACAAAAAAAAAAGAAAAAUGAAAAAAAUAUUAUUGGGGGUUUUCGGGCUCCCUGAAAGUAAUACCCUUGUAUUAGGUUUUGGGACUAGGGAAAGGUUUAAGGUUUUUGGCGUUAGGGUUAAAAUCACUGUCCAAAACCUUUGUAGGAACUCUUUUCCAACCUUUUGGAGUUAGUUAGACCAAAAAAAAAAAAAGAAAAUGAAAAAAAAAUAUUUGGGGUGUUCAGGCUUCCUAAAAGUAAUACCCGGGUAUUAGGUUAUGGGGCUAUGGUAAGGUUUAAGGUUUUUGGCGUUAGGGUUAAAAUCACUGUCCAAAACCUUUGUAGGAACUCUUUUUCAACCUUUUGGAGUUAGUUAGACCAAAAAAAAAUGAAAAAUUAAAAAAUAUAUAUUUGGGGUGUUCAGGCUUCCUAAAAGUAAUACCCGGGUAUUAGGUUUUGGGGCUAUGGUAAGGUUUAAGUUUUUUGGCGUUAGGGUUAAAAUCACUGUCCAAAACCUUUGUAGGAACUCUUUUCCAACCUUUUGGAGUUAGUUAGACCAAAAAAAAAUGAAAAAUGAAAAAACAAUAUUUGGGGUUUUCGGGGUUCCUGAAUGUAAUACCCGGGUAUUAGAUUUUGAGGCUAGGGUAAGGUUUAAGUUUUUUGGCAUUAGGGUUAAAAUCACUGUCCAAAACCUUUGUAGGAACUCUUUUCCAACCUUUUGGAGUUAGUUAGACCAAAAAAUAUGAAAAAAGAAAAAAAUAUUAUUGGGGGUUUUCGGGCUCCCUGAAAGUAAUACCCGGGUAUUAGAUUUUGGGGCUAGGGUAAGGUUUAAGGUUUUUGGCGUUAGGGUUAAAAUCACUGUCCAAAACCUUUGUAGGAACUCUUUUCCAACCUUUUGGAGUUAGUUAGACCAAAAAAAUGAAAAAAGAAAAAAUUUUGGGGGUUUUCGGGCUUCCUGAAAGUAAUACCCGGGUAUUAGGUUUUGGGGCUAGGGAAAGGUUUAAGGGUUUUGGCGUUAGGGUUAAAAUCACUGUCCAAAACCUUUGUAGGAACUCUUUUCCAACCUUUUGGAGUUAGUUAGACCAAAAAAAAAAAAGAAAAUGAAAAAAAAAUAUUUGGGGUGUUCAGGCUUCCUAAAAGUAAUACCCGGGUAUUAGGUUAUUGGGCUAUGGUAAGGUUUAACGUUUUGGCGUUAGGUUUAAAAUCACUGUCCAAAACCUUUGUAGGAACUCUUUUCCAACCUUUUGGAUUUAGUUAGACCAAAAAAAAAAGAAAAAUGAAAAAAAAAAUAUUUGGGGUGUUCAGGCUUCCUAAAAGUAAUACCCGGGUAUUAGGUUAUGGGGCUAUGGUAAGGUUUAAGGUUUUUGGCGUUAGGGUUAAAAUCACUGUCCAAAACCUUUGUAGGAACUCUUUUUCAACCUUUUGGAGUUAGUUAGACCAAAAAAAAAAUGAAAAAUGAAAAAAAAAUAUUUGGGGUUUACGGGCUUCCUAAAAGUAAUACCCGGGUAUUAGGUUAUGGGGCUAUGGUAAGGUUUAAGGUUUUUGGCGUUAGGGUUAAAAUCACUGUCCAAAACCUUUGUAGGAACUCUUUUCCAACCUUUUGGAGUUAGUUAGACCAAAAAAUAUGAAAAAAGAAAAAAAUAUUAUUGGGGGUUUUCGGGCUCCCUGAAAGUAAUACCCGGGUAUUAGGUUUUGGGGCUAUAGUAAGGUUUAAGUUUUUUGGCGUUAGGGUUAAAAUCACUGUCCAAAACCUUUGUAGGAACUCUUUUCCAACCUUUUGGAGUUAGUUAGACCAAAAAAAAAAAAAGAAAAAUGAAAAAAAAAGUAUUUGGGGUGUUCAGGCUUCCUAAAAGUAAUACCCGGGUAUUAGGUUAUGGGGCUAUGGUAAGGUUUAAGGUUUUUGGCAUUAGGGUUAAAAUCACUGUCCAAAACCUUUGUAGGAACUCUUUUCCAACCUUUUGGAGUUAGUUAGACCAAAAAAAAAUGAAAAAUGAAAAAAAAUAUAUUUGGGGUGUUCAGGCUUCCUAAAAGUAAUACCCGGGUAUUAGGUUAUGGGGCUAUGGUAAGGUUUAAGGUUUUUGGCGUUAGGGUUAAAAUCACUGUCCAAAACCUUUGUAGGAACUCUUUUCCAACCUUUUGGAGUUAGUUAGACCAAAAAAAAAAAGAAAAAUGAAAAAAAAAAUAUUUGGGGUGUUCAGGCUUCCUAAAAGUAAUACCCGGGUAUUAGGUUAUGGGGCUAUGGUAAGGUUUAAGGUUUUUGGCGUUAGGGUUAAAAUCACUGUCCAAAACCUUUGUAGGAACUCUUUUCCAACCUUUUGGAGUUGGUUACACCAAAAAAAAUGUAAAAUGAAAAAAAAAAAAUAUUUGGGGUGUUCGGGCUUCCUGAAUGUAAUACCCGGGUAUUAGAUUUUAAGGCCAGGGUAAGGUUUAAGUUUUUUGGCAUUAGGGUUAAAAUCACUGUCCAAAACCUUUGUAGGAACACUUUUCCAACCUUUUGGAGUUGGUUAGACCAAAAAAAAAAAGAAAAAUGAAAAAAAAAUAUUUGGGGUGUUCAGGCUUCCUAAAAGUAAUACCCGGGUAUUAGGUUAUGGGGCUAUGGUAAGGUUUAAGGUUUUUGGCAUUAGGGUUAAAAUCACUGUCCAAAACCUUUGUAGGAACUCUUUUCCAACCUUUUGGAGUUAGUUACACCAAAAAAAAUGUAAAAUGAAGAAAAAAAUAUUUGGGGUGUUCAGGCUUCCUGAAGGUAAUACCCGGGUAUUAGAUUUCAAGGCUAGGGUAAGGUUUAAGGUUUUUGGCGUUAGGGUUAAAAUCACUGUCCAAAACCUUUGUAGGAACUCUUUUCCAACCUUUUGGAGUUAGUUAGACCAAAAAAUAUGAAAAAAGAAAAAAAUAUUAUUGGGGGUUUUCGGGCUCCCUGAAAGUAAUACCCGUGUAUUAGGUUUUGGGACUAGGGAAAGGUUUAAGGGUUUUGGCGUUAGGGUUAAAAUCACUGUCCAAAACCUUUGUAGGAACUCUUUUCCAACCUUUUGGAGUUAGUUAGACCAAAAAAAAAGAAAAAUGAAAAAAAAAUAUUUGGGGUGUUCAGGCUUCCUAAAAGUAAUACCCGGGUAUUAGGUUAUGGGGCUAUGGUAAGGUUUAAGGUUUUGGCGUUAGGGUUAAAAUCACUGUCCAAAACCUUUGUAGGAACUCUUUUCCAACCUUUUGGAGUUAGUUAGACCAAAAAAAAUGAAAAAUGAAAAAAAAUAUAUUUGGGGUGUUCGGGCUUCCUAAAAGUAAUACCCGGGUAUUAGGUUAUGGGGCUAUGGUAAGGUUUAAGGUUUUUGGCGUUAGGGUUAAAAUCACUGUCCAAAACCUUUGUAGGAACUCUUUUCCAACCUUUUGGAGUUAGUUAGACCAAAAAAAAAUGAAAAAUGAAAAAAAAUAUAUUUGGGGUUUACGGGCUUCCUGAAUGUAAUACCCGGGUAUUAGAUUUUAAGGCCAGGGAAAGGUUUAAGUUUUUUGGCGUUAGGGUUAAAAUCACUGUCCAAAACCUUUGUAGGAACUCUUUUCCAACCUUUUGGAGUUAGUUAGACCAAAAAAUAUGAAAAAAGAAAAAAAUAUUAUUGGGGGUAUUAUUAGGUUUUGGGGCUAUGGUAAGGUUUAAGUUUUUUGGCGUUAGGGUUAAAAUCACUGUCCAAAACCUUUGUAGGAACUCUUUUCCAACCUUUUGGAGUUAGUUAGACAAAAAAAAAAAGGAAAAUGAAAAAAAAAUAUUUGGGGUGUUCAGGCUUCCUAAAAGUAAUACCCGGGUAUUAGGUUAUGGGGCUAUGGUAAGGUUUAAGGUUUUUGGCGUUAGGGUUAAAAUCACUGUCCAAAACCUUUGUAGGAACUCUUUUCCAACCUUUUGGAGUUAGUUAGACCAAAAAAAAAUGAAAAAUUAAAAAAAAUAUAU
Molecule: long non-coding RNA, 6564 nt
Filed under: Xyrichtys novacula (pearly razorfish)
Lineage: Eukaryota; Metazoa; Chordata; Actinopteri; Labriformes; Labridae
Source: RNAcentral